Long non-coding RNA from Lycium barbarum (goji berry), 662 nucleotides. RefSeq lists it as uncharacterized. Lineage: Eukaryota; Viridiplantae; Streptophyta; Magnoliopsida; Solanales; Solanaceae. The transcript is spliced from 4 exons. The record is from RefSeq and is a predicted model, not a curated record.
CAUGACCCCUAAAUAGAUAUAUAUGAAUUAUACUUAGUAUUAUCCAAGAAACAACUCACAAAAUCAAGAACACCCAAAAAAAAAGGGUUUCGGCCGAGAGCUAGAGAGAAAGAAAAGGAAAAAUCCCAAGCUUGUGUGGUGGUUCAAUAAUCUUGUUCUUUACAUAUUUGUGAAGUACUCAAGGCCCUCUUCAACGGGGUAUAAUUAGUUUGGCACGAGGACGACGUUUUCGACAAGUCGGGGUUUCAAGAAAGAUUUUUGACGAAACGGGACGAGACAUUUGGAAGAGCUUACGACGUCUGUGAGGUGCAGAUUCCGGUGAUCUUCCGCAGUAGGCUUCACCUUUUGCUUUCUCGGAGUACUCUUACUUGAUCCGGAGUCCACUCUUGUGAUGCCUCCGAAGAAGGCAACGGCGGCCCAGAAGGGCAAGGCGAGGGUUGGAGAGACUAGCCAGGCACAGCGAGCUACCCGGGCUCGUGUUUAUGAUUUGCCUGAGGACGUGCCACAGUCUGAGGGGUCUGCCACACCCCCACCAGUACAGCCUGGAGUAGGGCCAUCGGCAGCUCCAGAGGUUCGUGUACCCGCACCUGAGGCUCCAGCUCCUCAGCCAGGGGCGGAGGAUCGGACCCUGAGGGAGGCUGUGCAGUUACUGACUACGCUGG